GACGAACGCUGGCGGCGUGCUUCAUACAUGCAAGUCGAACGAGAAUCUCUAGCUUGCUAGAGAGGACAGUGGCGGACGGGUGAGUAAUGUGUAGAGAAUCUGCCCUUGAGAGGGGGACAACAGAGGGAAACUUCUGCUAAUACCCCAUAUGAGGUAAGCUGAAAUGCUUAUCUUGAAAACUCCGGUGCUCAAGGAUGAGUCUGCAUCUGAUUAGCUAGUUGGGGUGUAAUGGACCACCAAGGCGACGAUCAGUAGCUGGUUUGAGAGGAUGAUCAGCCACAAUGGGACUGAGACACGGCCCAU
Molecule: ribosomal RNA, 303 nt
Filed under: uncultured bacterium
Lineage: Bacteria
Description: bacterial SSU rRNA
Rfam family: Bacterial small subunit ribosomal RNA
Source: RNAcentral